GACGAACGCUGGCGGCGUGCUUAACACAUGCAAGUCGAACGAUGAAGCUGGAGCUUGCUCCAGCGGAUUAGUGGCGAACGGGUGAGUAACACGUUAGCAAUCUGCCCUUGACUCUGGGAUAACUGCGGGAAACUGUAGCUAAUACCGGACACGAGCUUUGAAGGCAUCUUCAGAUCUGGAAAGUACUUCGGUCAAGGAUGAGCUCGCGGCCUCUCAGCUAGUUGGUGAGGUAAUGGCUCACCAAGGCGACGACGGGUAGCAGGCCUGAGAGGGUGACCGGACACACUGGAACUGAGACACGGUCCAGACUCCUACGGGAGGCAGCAGUGGGGAAUAUUGCACAAUGGGCGAAAGCCUGAUGCAGCAACGCCGCGUGAGGGAUGAAGGCCUUCGGGUUGUAAACCUCUUUUAGUAGGGAAGAAGCGAAAGUGACGGUACCUACAGAAAAAGCACCGGCUAACUACGUGCCAGCAGCCGCCGUAA
RNAcentral lists this ribosomal RNA (483 nucleotides) under uncultured bacterium. RNAcentral's name for it is "partial 16S ribosomal RNA". It matches the Rfam family "Bacterial small subunit ribosomal RNA", at positions 28 to 523 of the family's 1533-position model. The record is from RNAcentral.